ACUCCUGCGGGAGGCAGCAGUGGGGAAUAUUGGACACUGGGCGCAAGCCUGAUCCAGCCAUGCCGCGUGAGUGAUGAAGGCCCUAGGGUUGUAAAGCUCUUUCACCGGUGAAGAUAAUGACGGUAACCGGAGAAGAAGCCCCGGCUAACUUCGUGCCAGCAGCCGCGGUAAUACGAAGGGGGCUAGCGUUGUUCGGAUUUACUGGGCGUAAAGCGCACGUAGGCGGACUAUUAAGUCAGGGGUGAAAUCCCGGGGCUCAACCCCGGAACUGCCUUUGAUACUGGUAGUCUUGAGUUCGAGAGAGGUGAGUGGAAUUCCGAGUGUAGAGGUGAAAUUCGUAGAUAUUCGGAGGAACACCAGUGGCGAAGGCGGCUCACUGGCUCGAUACUGACGCUGAGGUGCGAAAGCGUGGGGAGCAAACAGGAUUAGAAACCCCAGUAGUCCCAUG
Molecule: ribosomal RNA, 448 nt
Filed under: uncultured organism
Description: partial 16S ribosomal RNA
Rfam family: Bacterial small subunit ribosomal RNA
Source: RNAcentral